AGCAGCUGGAACCUCAGGCACGCGCGGCGCCGGCCCCUGGAGCUCAGAACCGCAGUUAGGACUGCAUCCGGCACCAGGCAGCCAGCGGCGAGGGGGACAUGGGAUCGUGCUGCCAUCUGGUGGCUGGAUGGCUUAAGGGCCACCGUAGCUGAAAGCCUUGCCGCUGAAUGCCGAAACGUAACCUUCCCUGGCUGCUGUAUAGAUAACAUGCGUAAGCCACCAUGGUCACAGCUUCUUCGGUCGUUUUUCAGGAACUUAGACCAGCUCCUGUCCAGUUCAAACUGGUUGAGACCACUAACCCUUCAACUGGGCCUGCGCAAGUGCCCAAAACGUGGCCUUUUGACAUUGGAGGGCCAAAAACUCUGCCUUCAGCUCAUGCUAAUGCUACCCUUUUCUGUACACGUGUCCUGUGAAAUGCCAUGAACUCCAGCCAUGCUCACACAGAACGAAGCUGUCACUUAUCUUCGGGGGACGUGGAUUUGAGAGAUGUUGUCCCACCUCCCCGCUCAGUGCCCUUGCGAAUAAAUCUUUUCUCUUUUGCAAAA
Molecule: non-coding RNA, 545 nt
Organism: Macaca mulatta (Rhesus monkey)
Lineage: Eukaryota; Metazoa; Chordata; Mammalia; Primates; Cercopithecidae
Source: RefSeq, a predicted model, not a curated record